GACGAACGCUGGCGGCGUGCUUAACACAUGCAAGUCGAACGGAAAGGCCCUGCUUUCGUGGGGUGCCCGAGUGGCGAACGGGUGAGUAACACGUGAGUAACCUGCCCUUGACUUUGGGAUAACUUCACGAAACUGGGCCUAAUACCGGAUCGGAGACCCUGCUGCAUGGUGGGCGGUGGAACGUUUCGGCGGUUGGGGAUGGACUCGCGGGUUAUCAGCUUGUUGGUGGGGUAGGGGCUUACCAAGCCUGUGGCGGGUAGCCUGCCUGGGAGGGUGGCCGGGCGCCAUGGUACUGGGGUACGGCGCAGAGUCGUACAUGAGGCAACGGGGGAGAGUAUUGCACAAUGGGAGGGAGCGUGUGGCGGCAACGCCGCGUGCGGGAAGACGGCCUGCGGGUAGAGAAACGCUGUCGCCUGUGACGAAGCGUGAGUGACGGUAAUGGGUAAAGAAGCACCGGCUAACUACGUG
Molecule: ribosomal RNA, 468 nt
Filed under: uncultured bacterium
Lineage: Bacteria
Description: partial 16S ribosomal RNA
Rfam family: Bacterial small subunit ribosomal RNA
Source: RNAcentral